Molecule: transfer RNA, 77 nt
Filed under: Candidatus Bathyarchaeota archaeon
Lineage: Archaea; Thermoproteati; Candidatus Bathyarchaeota
Also listed under: 1 other name
Description: tRNA-Met
Rfam family: tRNA
About the family: Transfer RNA (tRNA) molecules are approximately 80 nucleotides in length. Their secondary structure includes four short double-helical elements and three loops (D, anti-codon, and T loops).
Source: RNAcentral
GCCGGGGUAGCCUAGCCUGGAUGGGCGCCAGACUCAUAAUCUGGAGGUCGCGGGUUCAAAUCCCGCCCCCGGCACCA